Molecule: ribosomal RNA, 320 nt
Filed under: Clostridioides difficile
Lineage: Bacteria; Bacillati; Bacillota; Clostridia; Peptostreptococcales; Peptostreptococcaceae
Description: partial 16S ribosomal RNA
Rfam family: Bacterial small subunit ribosomal RNA
Source: RNAcentral
UGCUACAAUGGGUAGUACAGAGGGUUGCCAAGCCGUAAGGUGGAGCUAAUCCCUUAAAGCUACUCUCAGUUCGGAUUGUAGGCUGAAACUCGCCUACAUGAAGCUGGAGUUACUAGUAAUCGCAGAUCAGAAUGCUGCGGUGAAUGCGUUCCCGGGUCUUGUACACACCGCCCGUCACACCACGGGAGUUGGAGACGCCCGAAGCCGAUUAUCUAACCUUUUGGAAGAAGUCGUCGAAGGUGGAAUCAAUAACUGGGGUGAAGUCGUAACAAGGUAGCCGUAUCGGAAGGUGCGGCUGGAUCACCUCCUUUCUAAGGAGA